Molecule: long non-coding RNA, 475 nt
Organism: Capra hircus (goat)
Lineage: Eukaryota; Metazoa; Chordata; Mammalia; Artiodactyla; Bovidae
Exons: 3
Source: RefSeq, a predicted model, not a curated record
UCCCAGGGUGACAGGCAGGGGGCAGAGUUUAAUCCAGUUCUUUCCGGAAAUGGCUCAGAGCCUCCAAACUGGAAUGACUGUCUGUCCUUGUAGAGGCUUUUCCAGUGAUCGUCAUGGCGAUUGUCAACCAUCCUAGCGCUGGUGGGUGUGUCUUCUAGGAGGUCCUGGUAAGGAAUGCCGAACCAGCAAGUUACCGCCAGCCCAGAGAAUUCGGGAAAGGUCAAAAGGAGAAAGGAGAUGACUCUCCAUAUGUCCUACCAACCUCCCAGCAUCCUUCUCGCUGGCGUCCGUCUCGGCUGAGUGACCCACACGCCACCAGGAAGGACCCUGAGUCAGAGGGAUCAGCCAGACACAACCCAGAAACUAACCCCAUCACUAUAAAACCCGAGACUGCAAGCCCAGUGGCAGAGCAGUCCUCCUGGGUUCCCUCGCCCUGCUGCCUUCUUCCCGGGCACUCCUUCCCAACAAAGUCUCU